Molecule: ribosomal RNA, 392 nt
Filed under: Typhloligidium karabijajlae
Lineage: Eukaryota; Metazoa; Arthropoda; Malacostraca; Isopoda; Ligiidae
Description: partial large subunit ribosomal RNA
Rfam family: Bacterial large subunit ribosomal RNA
Source: RNAcentral
GACCGGGUACUGCCGCAGUAUUCUGACUGUGCUAAGGUAGCAUAAUAAUUUGUCUUUUAAUUGAGGACUGGAAUAAACGAGUUGACGAAGAGAAAGCUGUCUCUUUUAGGCUACUUAAACUUACCCUUAAGGUUAAAAGGCCUUAUAAAACCAAAGGGACGACAAGACCCUAAAAACUUUAUUCCUUCCUCGAAAGAUAAGAAAUACAACCUUAGGAAUUUUACUGGGGCGGUAAAUUGCAACAAAAUUUAAUUUAAACACUCUGGGUGAAACAAAAGUACAGGAGUACCUAAAAAGAACCAGUUACUUUAGGGAUAACAGCGCAAUUUUUCCAGAGAGUUCUUAUCGGCGGAAAAGAUUACGACCUCGAUGUUGAAUUGAAAUUCCUCUUG